GGUGCUGUGGUGCAGUGGGUUAACGCCCUGGCCUGAAGCUCCGGAUUCUCAUAUGGGCACUGGUUCAACACCAGUCUGCUCCA
RNAcentral lists this transfer RNA (83 nucleotides) under Oryctolagus cuniculus (rabbit). It matches the Rfam family "tRNA". Rfam says of the family: Transfer RNA (tRNA) molecules are approximately 80 nucleotides in length. The record is from Rfam by way of RNAcentral. Lineage: Eukaryota; Metazoa; Chordata; Mammalia; Lagomorpha; Leporidae.